AGUCGAGCGAAUCGAUGGGAGCUUGCUCCCUGAGAUUAGCGGCGGACGGGUGAGUAACACGUGGGCAACCUGCCUAUAAGACUGGGAUAACUUCGGGAAACCGGAGCUAAUACCGGAUACGUUCUUUUCUCGCAUGAGAGAAGAUGGAAAGACGGUUUACGCUGUCACUUAUAGAUGGGCCCGCGGCGCAUUAGCUAGUUGGUGAGGUAAUGGCUCACCAAGGCGACGAUGCGUAGCCGACCUGAGAGGGUGAUCGGCCACACUGGGACUGAGACACGGCCCAGACUCCUACGGGAGGCAGCAGUAGGGAAUCUUCCGCAAUGGACGAAAGUCUGACGGAGCAACGCCGCGUGAACGAAGAAGGCCUUCGGGUCGUAAAGUUCUGUUGUUAGGGAAGAACAAGUACCAGAGUAACUGCUGGUACCUUGACGGUACCUAACCAGAAAGCCACGGCUAACUACGUGCCAGCAGCCGCGGUAAUACGUAGGUGGCAAGCGUUGUCCGGAAUUAUUGGGCGUAAAGCGCGCGCAGGUGGUUCCUUAAGUCUGAUGUGAAAGCCCACGGCUCAACCGUGGAGGGUCAUUGGAAACUGGGGAACUUGAGUGCAGAA
RNAcentral lists this ribosomal RNA (610 nucleotides) under Bacillus sp. FJAT-4435. RNAcentral describes it as "bacterial SSU rRNA". It matches the Rfam family "Bacterial small subunit ribosomal RNA", at positions 60 to 653 of the family's 1533-position model. The record is from RNAcentral. Lineage: Bacteria; Bacillati; Bacillota; Bacilli; Caryophanales; Bacillaceae.